CGCGUAGGCGGUUUCUAAAGUCAGAUGUGAAAGCCCGGGGCUUAACCCCGGAAGUGCAUUUGAAACUUAGGGACUUGGGUAUGGGAGAGGGAAGUGGAAUUCCUGGUGUAGCGGUGAAAUGCGUAGAUAUCAGGAGGAACACCGGUGGCGAAGGCGGCUUCCUGGACCAAUACUGACGCUGAGGCGCGAAGGCGUGGGGAGCAAACA
Molecule: ribosomal RNA, 207 nt
Filed under: uncultured bacterium
Lineage: Bacteria
Description: partial 16S ribosomal RNA
Rfam family: Bacterial small subunit ribosomal RNA
Source: RNAcentral